RNAcentral lists this small nuclear RNA (111 nucleotides) under Sus scrofa (pig). Lineage: Eukaryota; Metazoa; Chordata; Mammalia; Artiodactyla; Suidae. The record is from RNAcentral.
GCCAGCAAGUCAAAGGACAUCUCAGGCGCUUGUUUCGAAACAACGCAGAGGAGAUUCACACGUCCCCUGCUCAAGGAUGACACACAAAUUCGUGAAGCAUUCCAUAUUUUA